UACGUAGGUGGCAAGCGUUGUCCGGAUUUACUGGGCGUAAAGAGCGCGCAGGCGGUCGUUCAAGUCGCGUGUGAAAGCCCCCGGCUCAACUGGGGAGGGUCACGCGAUACUGAUCGACUCGAAGGCAGGAGAGGGAAGUGGAAUUCCCGGUGUAGUGGUGAAAUGCGUAGAUAUUGGGAGGAACACCAGUGGCGAAGGCGGCUCACUGGACUGGUACUGACGCUGAGGCGCGAAAGCGUGGGGAGCAAACGGG
This 253-nucleotide ribosomal RNA is filed under the name uncultured bacterium. RNAcentral describes it as "partial 16S ribosomal RNA". It matches the Rfam family "Bacterial small subunit ribosomal RNA", at positions 524 to 776 of the family's 1533-position model. The record is from RNAcentral.